Molecule: ribosomal RNA, 301 nt
Filed under: uncultured bacterium
Lineage: Bacteria
Description: partial 16S ribosomal RNA
Rfam family: Bacterial small subunit ribosomal RNA
Source: RNAcentral
CAGUAGCCGCGGUAAAACGGAGGGUGCUAGCGUUGUUCGGAAUCACUGGGCGUAAAGGGCGCGUAGGCGGCCUGUUAAGUCGGAUGUGAAAGCCCGGGGCUCAACCCCGGAACUGCAUCCGAGACUGGCAGGCUUGAGACCGGGAGAGGAGGGUGGAAUAUCCAGUGUAGAGGUGAAAUUCGUAGAUAUUGGAUGGAACACCGGUGGCGAAAGCGGCUCUCUGGCCCGGAUCUGACGCUGAGGCGCGAAAGCGUGGGGAGCAAACAGGAUUAGAUACCCCAGUAGUCCCUGUCUCUUAUAA